RNAcentral lists this ribosomal RNA (252 nucleotides) under uncultured bacterium. Its description in RNAcentral is "partial 16S ribosomal RNA". It matches the Rfam family "Bacterial small subunit ribosomal RNA", at positions 524 to 776 of the family's 1533-position model. The record is from RNAcentral.
GACAGAGGAGGCAAGCGUUGUCCGGAUUGACUGGGCGUAAAGCGUCCGCAGGUGGCAUGCCAAGUGGGGUGUGAAAGCCGGUGCUUAACCGCCGGAGGCCAUCCCAAACUGGCGCGCUGGAGCCGGGCAGAGGGUGACGGAAUUGCCGGUGUAGUGGUGAAAUGCGUAGAGAUCCGGAGGAACACCAGUGGCGAAGGCGACACGCUGGGCCGUACCUGACACUGAACCGCGACAGCAUGGGGAGCAAACAGG